ACCCGGGAUGGAGUUUCUCGCUGGGGCCUCCAAAUGUUAGCGGGCAAAAUCAAACCACCAUCCACUGCAAGGAAGCAAAAGAUGUUUAUU
This 90-nucleotide microRNA precursor is filed under the name Erinaceus europaeus (western European hedgehog). RNAcentral describes it as "miRNA (ENSEEUG00000021056.1)". Lineage: Eukaryota; Metazoa; Chordata; Mammalia; Eulipotyphla; Erinaceidae. The record is from RNAcentral.